This 2091-nucleotide long non-coding RNA is filed under the name Ananas comosus (pineapple). RNAcentral's name for it is "long non-coding RNA (ACOM_LNC032401)". The record is from RNAcentral. Lineage: Eukaryota; Viridiplantae; Streptophyta; Magnoliopsida; Poales; Bromeliaceae.
UAAAAGACUAAAAAAUAAAUAUGUGAGGUGUCAGAUAUACACAAAGUCUAAGAAUGUACAGAUAUUAUUGCAUUUUUAGAAAGGGAUAAUUAUCUAUAUAUUCCUUAUACGUUUGAAAAUAUCCGAUUUAUCUCUAUUCUUCUUUUUUUUUUUCAUUCUAAAAUACUCCUCAUAUGUUCCACCGUUAUUGCAAAAUACCCCCGCUGUUAUCUCCUGUUAAGUUAACUUAAGUUAAACGUGGGUUAAAUAUCUACCGCAGUUAAAAAAAUAAAAUGUCAAUUUUGCCCUUAACUUAAGGGCAAAUAAGAAAUAUUGGUGACGGUAGAGGGGUAUAUUGGAAAAGACCAAAAGUCAAAAUACUUUUUGUGCCCCUGACUUUAAGGGCAAAUAAAAAAGUCAGUGAUGGUGAAAGCGUAUAUUUGAAAGGGCAAAAUACCCUCGCAGUUAUCUCCUGUUAAGUUAACUUAAGUUAAACGUGGGUUAAAUAUCUACCACAGUUAAAAAAAAAUAAAAUGUCAAUUUUGCCCCUAACUUAAGGGCAAAUAAGAAAUAUUAGUGACGGUAGAGGGGUAUAUUGGAAAAGACCAAAAGUCAAAAUACUUUUUGUGUCCCUGACUUUAAGGACAAAUAAGAAAGUCAGUGAUGGUGGAAGGAUAUAUUUGAAAGGGCAAAAUAGUAAUUUUACAGAGAUAACAUAGUUUAUUGACAUAUUUUAACCCUAGGGGUAUAUUAGAAAUAGGUUGGAACGUAAAAAAGGUAUUUUCAAUAUUAGCCUUCUAAGAGGGGUAAAUCGGAAAGUCGGAAAUUUUUCAGAAAUAUAUAAGCAAUUGCUCCUUUUAGAAAAGAUGGGUAUUUUCGGAAGUACAAGUGUUUAUAUACAUAAAAAUCAAGUUUUAGAAAAGCAAAUAGCGCAUGCUAGGAAUAUUUAAAUUUUGCAGGAAUAUAUAAAAAAAAUUGAUAAUUUGUCGCGAAUAUAUGUGUAAAUGUCUUUUUGACAAGUGAAUUAGGUAUCAUUAAUUAAUUAAGCAACCCAUCUAAUCCCAAUCUUCCAUGAUUAAGGGGGUGUUUGUUUCCUCGAAAUAUCGUGAAAAAUUAUUUUUUAAAAAUUUUUAUAUGGAAAUAAUUUAUUUCUAAACUUUACUUUCUUUUUUUUUCGGAUAAAACUGGAAAACUAGGAAUUUUUUUUUUUUUUUUGAAAAAGCUAUUUACUUGAGAAUCAAAUAGAGGAAAAGUACUUUUCCAACCAAUAAUUAAAUUAGUUUUUAAAAUACUUUUCAAAAACCAAACACACCCUAAAUGGUUACAUAUUUUUCAAUGCAGUGUCUAUUCACAUCAAAAUUUUAUAACGAUAAAGGAACCCUAAUCCGUUGUUAUCUAUCACUUUUAUCUCUAUCCAAGAAUUAUAAUCUUUAUCUCUAUAAUUUUUUUUGAAGUAUUCAAAAUAUCCAACGAAUUAUUGAAUAGAGUCAAAAUUAACAAGUGACAGUAAAUAGAGGGCUCUUUAAUGAGGGGUCGUUGGGCAGCUCGCUAUUAAAAUUUUGGGAUAAUUACCUAUAUACCCCUCAAAACUUUGGAAAUAUCUAAUUUAUCCUUACUUUUUUUUUCUUUCCAAUAUACCCUUCAUAUGUUCCUCAAUCACUCGUUAAAUUAACUUGAAUUAAAUGUGAGUUAAAUAUCCACCACAGUUAAAAAAAAUUUAAAAUACCACUUUUGCCCUUAACUUAAGGGCAAAUAAGAAAUGUUGGUGACGGUAGAAGAGUAUAUUUGAAAAGACCAGAAAGUAAAAUACUUUUUGUGCCCCUAACUUAAGGACAAAUAAGAAAAGUCGGUGCUAAUAGAAGUAUAUAUUUGAAAGGGCAAAAUAGUAAAUUUUAUAGAGAUAACAGAAUUCAUUAACAGAUUUUAACUCUAGGGGUGUAUUUGAAAUAGGUUGGAACAUAAAAAGAGUAUUUUUAAUAUUAGCCUUCUAAGAGGGGUAAAUCAUAAAGUCGAAAACUUUUCAGGGAUAUAUAAACAAUUGCCCCUAAAAUUUUAUCCUAUUCUAUGGACACACCAUCCAACUAUUUAUUUUUCUUAUGUCAACUUCUUCAU